Molecule: long non-coding RNA, 240 nt
Filed under: Oryza brachyantha (malo sina)
Lineage: Eukaryota; Viridiplantae; Streptophyta; Magnoliopsida; Poales; Poaceae
Description: long non-coding RNA (OBRA_LNC002694)
Source: RNAcentral
CAACAGACAAGAACAAAACAUCAUGCUUGCAUCAUUGGCUCAUUGCUGGUACGGAGAGUGCCAUUACAUGCAUCAUUUUGCAUUACAAAAUACAAAUGAUGGAGCCCUCUAAAUUAUUAAGAACAUCCUAAUUAAGACGAAGCAGUACAAACCCUAGAAAAUUAAGCAUGCUCGUGCAGCUGGUAGCCUAAAAAUGACGGGACCAAUCCAUCCAUGUCGAUAAAAUCUACUGGAUUUAAU